This 440-nucleotide ribosomal RNA is filed under the name uncultured bacterium. RNAcentral describes it as "partial 16S ribosomal RNA". It matches the Rfam family "Bacterial small subunit ribosomal RNA", at positions 338 to 795 of the family's 1533-position model. The record is from RNAcentral.
CCUACGGGUGGCUGCAGUGGGGAAUAUUGCACAAUGGGGGAAACCCUGAUGCAGCGACGCCGCGUGAGUGAAGAAGUCUCUCGGUAUGUAAAGCUCCAUUAGCAGGGAAGAAAAUGACGGUACCUGUUUACUUCGCCCCGGCUCCCUACGUGCCAGCAGCCGCGGUCAUACGUAGGGGGCAAGCGUUAUCCGGAUUUACUGGGUGUAAAGGGAGCGUUGAUGGCAGCACAAGUUUGGAGUGAAAUGCCGGGGCUUAACCCCGGAACUGCUUUGGAAACUGUGCAGCUAGAGUGCAGGAGAGGUAAGUGGAAUUCCUGGUGUAGCGGUGAAAUGCGUAGAUAUUAGGAGGAACACCAGUGGCGAAGGCGGCUUACUGGACUGUAACUGACGUUGAGGCACGAAAGCGUGGGGAGCGAACAGGAUUAGAUACCCCAGUAGUC